GAUGAACGCUGGCGGCGUGCCUAAUACAUGCAAGUCGAGCGAACGGACGAGAAGCUUGCUUCUCUGAUGUUAGCGGCGGACGGGUGAGUAACACGUGGAUAACCUACCUAUAAGACUGGGAUAACUUCGGGAAACCGGAGCUAAUACCGGAUGAUAUUUUGAACCGCAUGGUUCAAUAGUGAAAGACGGUCUUGCUGUCACUUAUAGAUGGAUCCGCGCUGCAUUAGCUAGUUGGUAAGGUAACGGCUUACCAAGGCAACGAUGCAUAGCCGACCUGAGAGGGUGAUCGGCCGCACUGGAACUGAGACACGGUCCAGACUCCUAAGGGAGGCAGCAGUAGGGAAUCUUCCGCAAUAGGCGGAAGCCUGACGGAGCAACGCCGCGUGAGUGAUGAAGGUCUUCGGAUCGUAAAACUCUGUUAUUAGGGAAGAACAUAUGUGUAAGUAACUGUGCACAUCUUGACGGUACCUAGUCAGAAAGCCACGGCUAACUACGUG
Molecule: ribosomal RNA, 497 nt
Filed under: uncultured bacterium
Lineage: Bacteria
Description: partial 16S ribosomal RNA
Rfam family: Bacterial small subunit ribosomal RNA
Source: RNAcentral